Molecule: ribosomal RNA, 434 nt
Filed under: uncultured Clostridium sp.
Lineage: Bacteria; Bacillati; Bacillota; Clostridia; Eubacteriales; Clostridiaceae
Also listed under: 2 other names
Description: partial 16S ribosomal RNA
Rfam family: Bacterial small subunit ribosomal RNA
Source: RNAcentral
ACGGAAGGCAGCAGUGGGGGAUAUUGCACAAUGGGGGAAACCCUGAUGCAGCGACGCCGCGUGAGUGAAGAAGUAUUUCGGUAUGUAAAGCUCUAUCAGCAGGGAAGAUAAUGACAGUACCUGACUAAGAAGCCCCGGCUAACUACGUGCCAGCAGCCGCGGUAAUACGUAGGGGGCAAGCGUUAUCCGGAUUUACUGGGUGUAAAGGGAGCGUAGGCGGCGACGUAAGUCAGAAGUGAAAGCCCGGGGCUCAACCGCGGGACUGCUUUUGAAACUGCAUUGCUAGAGUGUCGGAGAGGUAAGUGGAAUUCCUAGUGUAGCGGUGAAAUGCGUAGAUAUUAGGAGGAACACCAGUGGCGAAGGCGGCUUACUGGACGAUAACUGACGCUGAGGCUCGAAAGCGUGGGGAGCAAACAGGAUUAGAUACCCUGGUA